GCGCUAGUAGCUCAGCUGGAUAGAGUACCUGGCUACGAACCAGGCGGUCAGAGGUUCGAAUCCUCUCUGGCGCA
The sequence is a transfer RNA, 74 nucleotides long. It matches the Rfam family "tRNA". Rfam says of the family: Transfer RNA (tRNA) molecules are approximately 80 nucleotides in length. Their secondary structure includes four short double-helical elements and three loops (D, anti-codon, and T loops). Further hydrogen bonds mediate the characteristic L-shaped molecular structure. tRNAs have two regions of fundamental functional importance: the anti-codon, which is responsible for specific mRNA codon recognition, and the 3' end, to which the tRNAs corresponding amino acid is attached (by aminoacyl-tRNA synthetases). tRNAs cope with the degeneracy of the genetic code in two manners: having more than one tRNA (with a specific anti-codon) for a particular amino acid; and 'wobble' base-pairing, i.e. permitting non-standard base-pairing at the 3rd anti-codon position. The record is from Rfam.